RNAcentral lists this long non-coding RNA (4452 nucleotides) under Heterocephalus glaber (naked mole-rat). RNAcentral describes it as "lncRNA (ENSHGLG00000041579.1)". Lineage: Eukaryota; Metazoa; Chordata; Mammalia; Rodentia; Bathyergidae. The record is from RNAcentral.
AAAUAUAUAUAAAUAGCACAUUCAUCAAAGUGAAUUUGUACCUGUAUAUGGUAUAUCUUGAUUCCUCUUUUUUCCCAAUCCCUUCCCCUUUAUUCCACUUCCCUCCCCUCCUUAUUUAUGAAAACUUUGUUUCCAUUUUUUCCUUCUUUUCUCAUUUUUUUCUUUUCCCUUCCUUUUUUUCCUGCCCCUCUUUAGUUUCCCUUUCCUUUUGAAUAAUUGCUUCCUAUUUCACAUUAUCUAUUAUACAUUUUGGUCUUUAUUUAUCCUUUCAGUUUCUCACACCAGAGAGACAAUGUGAUAUUUACACUUGUCCGAUUUAUUUCACUUAAGGGUGUGGUCUCAAGGUGCAUCCAUUUAGCUAGAAAUGUCUCAAGUUUGUCUUUCUUUAUGGCUGAGUAGUACUCCAUUGUAUUAAAAAAACACAUCUUUUUUAUCCAUUCAUUCGUUGAUGGGCAUUUGGGUUGUUUCCAAGAUUUAGCUAUUACAAACUGUCACUCUAAACAUGGGUGUGCAUAUAUUGCUGUGGUAUGAUUCUUUUAAUUCUUUCAGGAAGAUCCCCAGCAGGGGAGUGCCUUUGACUUUUGACUGGGUCCUCCAGCUCUCCAGUGCAUAGACAGCCCUUUUGCAUUCUUCCACCCCUGACUCUGCAGGCAGCCAUUGUAAGCCUACCGUGUCAAUAUCUAGUAUCUAUCAUCUAUCUCAUCUAUUUCUCUAGUGAGCCCUAACUGAUAGUUGGCAUCUUUGGUGGGAAUUUGAUUGGGAUUCUGCUGGAUCUAUAGAUCAAGUUAGAGGAAUUGUCAUAAUAACAAAAAUGAUUGUACGCUUGAAUCAGUCAAUGUUUCUAGAGAAACAGAUAUAACACAAGAUCUAAAAAUAUAUAUGGAUUUACAAGAUUGGCUUAUAAGGGCCAACCAUAGAGUUGGAUGUGGAAGAGCGCAGAGGGUCUUUCUGCAUGCUAGAUACCAAAGGAUUCAGUGGAAGGUCUGGAGCUCACUUCAGUGUCCUGUGUGAGUCUCUAUCAGGAGGCCAAUGGGGUCUGUGAUGGAGGUUUGAAGAGUCUAUGCCGGAAGCCUGAAGGAUCUGCACCAGAAGCUGAAGAAUCUGCACAGGAAGCCAGGAAAUGACAUCCAAGGCGACAAGCUGCCCUAGGGCGUGGAAUUGCUGAACCAGUGUAGUUGGGCUGCUCUUACUCAAGUUAACACAGUCAGUCAACCAGUGCACUGCUGCUAAACAAAGGGUAUCUCUGCAUUUAUUUAUGUUUCCUUUGCUUCCUUUUACCCAUGUUUCAGUUUUCUGAAUGCAUAUUUGUAUAUACAGAAUCUGCCGCAAAAUGUCUACAUCGGGAAAAGAAAAAGUCGAAUAAAUAUUUUAAUACUGAGUUUACGGAGAGACCAUGAGGUUCGUGCAAAUUUGCCUCUCCAUUUAUAAGAGGUGCUCAAAGUGGUGGGCAUUGGCAGCGUUUGUGGUUAGAUUCCAGCUCUUCAGGCUCUAGGACGGGAUGUAUUAUACAUGAUGUUUAAACUCCUCAUUUCCAUCCCUCUUUUCCCCACCUCCCUCCUCUCCUUUCCAUUUCUCUUUUGUUUUCUCCCCUGAGGGACAGGUACCGAACCCUGGGCCUUGUGCAUCCCAGUCAAGCCUUCCAUCACUGAGCUGUGCCCCAGCCCAUUUUAAAAGCUGCUGCAGGUCUAUCUUGCAGAAUAGCGAUGUCCAUUCUGGGCACUCAGUAGGUGUAUACGCCACGUUCCGCUCAUUUUCAGUUCCUCUGCUUCCUCUUUCCCCCUUCCCUUGAUUCUCUUUCCUGUCUCCAAGAGUCCACCUUCUUAAAAAUUUUAGCCGGGCGUGCUGCUACUUGCCUGUAAUCCCAGGGCUUGGGAGUCAGAGGCAGGAAGACUGCAGUGAGUUCAAGGUCAGCCUGCGCCUCAAAGUAAGACCCUGUCUCAAAAACCCAAAAAUUAAAAAAUAAUUCCACUCGUUCCUAUAUUGUGGAUCUGUAGGUCAUCAAUUGACUUUUGUCUUCUGGACUUCUACUUUGGUUCUGGUUAUCUCUAUCAUUUAUUUUGUGUUGCUAUAACUGAGGACUUUAGACUAAAGUAAUUAAUAAGUAAAGUAAGCGUUUGUUGUUGUUUUUUUUUUUGGUACGGGGAAUCGAACUUGGUUCCUUGCGCUUGCUUGCGCAGCAGGCGGCGAAACCACUGAGCUAAAUCCCUGGCCCAAGUAAGUGUAUUUUUACAAUUCUGGAUACUAGAAAGUCCAAGGUUGAGGUACUGCCUCUGUUAAGGAUCUACUUGCUAGUAGGGACUGAGCCCUGAAGUGGUGCUCAAUGUAAUUGGUGAGAAAAAUUGUGCCAGAGAAAGCUUGCUUUUAUAACAAAACCACUCCCUUGAUACCUUGUUGAUCCAUUAUUUAUGAAUGUGUUCAUUCUUUUUUUUUGUACUGGGGAUUGAACUCGGGACCUUGCGCUUGCGAGGCAGGAGGUGGAACCACUGAGCUAAAUCUCCAUCCCCGAAAGUAUUCAUUCUUAUUAGCAGAGCCCUUAAAACGAAAUCACCUCCCAAAGUUUCCAUUAGAAUAUGACUUUGGGGGUGAAGUCUGCACCUCAUGAAUUCUAUUUUUGUUUUGUUUUAAGACAGGGUCUUCCUAUGUAGCUCAGGCUGGCCUUGAAGCCUUUGGAAUGCCAGGAUUACAGGCGUGGGCCACCAUACCCAGCUAUACCACUUGAAUUCUGGAGAAUGAACUUUUCAAUCCACAGCACCACCCAUUCAGAUCAGGGCAUGGUGGGCUCUAUUUCAGUUUCCAUGUCCAAAGUUAUGAUAUUUAGGAGUGGGUGCAAUCCUGCUAAACAGUGCCAGGGACUGCCCUGUGUUGAGCCCCAGAGCCUCCUUCUCCAGGGGCCCCAGUGUACUGGCCCCUCAUGGUCAUCAGCAUCCACAGUGAGGACCGAGCCUUCUACUCCUCCUUGGGACUGGCCCUGGAGACACCCUGGCAGCUUCCUGAUGAAGGGGCCCACAAAGGAGGAAAAGGUAGGGAAGUCAGAAUAAAGCCUCCUGUGCUCAAGAGAGCUUCUGGUGUGUUUGUCUCUUUCUUGGGUAAUAGUUUAGCAAAGUUCACUUUACAAUGGCAACCCUUCAUGGAGGUUGUGACCACUCAUCUUUAUAACAUACUGAUUGCAAUUUGUUUCUGGAGGGAAGUCUGGGCACACAAACAGGAGAAAUGCUGGGACAGUCUUGGCGAAAGCUGGGGUGCUGCCAUAUAGUCAUCCUUGAACUGGAGGGCAAAGGGCCAAGUCCAUCCUAUUACUUGGUUUUCUUGAUGUUUUAAUGAUUCAUUUUCCUUACAGUGUUAAAGUAGUAGGGGAAGUUGAAUAGUAGAUGUGUUAAAUUUGGCAACAUUAUCUAAGUCUAAAUGCAUCAUUUAUACUAAAGCCAGAAUUUGUUAAAAAUAUAUUUUGUGGCUUUUAUGGGGGAGGUAAAUUUAUCAGCUACACUUUUUCUUUUGCUACAGUUUAGCAUAAUCUUUCUAAUGAUGCACAAAAUAAUGUCUGGUGUGUAAACAUUGCCAUCCUAGAUAAAAUGUCUUGACUGUAUUAAGAUAUAUUAUAAUAUAAAAUGAAUUUAAGAAAGCCACCUCUUUUUUUCUACAUCUUCAUCAUUUUAUAUAAAAUCAGACUUUGUUAAAAGUCAGGGAACACUCAUAUGUGAUCCCAGUAUUUCUAAGAUCUUUCCAAUGGGCAAGCUCUAAGCAUCUUCCAAGCUUUUUUGUGCCAUUUGGUCUAUUUAUAGUUUCCUUAUUUUUGAUUUCUUUUUGUUAAUAUGUAUUUUUACUGGGAAACCACCCAUUUCCUCUAGGCUCCAUUUUAAUCCAAUAGAUUCAUCAUAUUUGACUGUUAAUUUUAUUUCCCGUUUUAGUUUUCUGUGGAAUUCUUUUUUUUUUUUCAGUACUGGGGUUGGAACUCAAGGGCCUUUUGCACGCUAGGCAUGUACUGUACCACUGAGCUACAGUCACAGCCAGAAUUCAUAAUCCUAAGUACUUCUGCUAUAUUUUAUCAACAGUAUUUAGAAAAAUAUGCUUUUUAGCCUAUCUUGUUUUUGAUUGAGAGAAUUGUCUUGUUUGAAAAGUUCUCAUGAUUGGGACCAGGGAUGUAGCUCAGUGGCACUAUGCCUGCCUGGCAAGCACAAGUUCCUGAGUUUGAACCCUGGUGCCAAAAAAAAAAAAAAAAAGAAAAGAAAGAAAAUUUCUCAUGAUAAUCUUAAAUGAUUUUAAUUAAUUUCUGCUUAAUAAAACAUCUUUGAAUUGGUGGUGUGGCUCAGUAGUAGAGAGCUUCCCUAGCAGGCACGAGGCCCUGAGUUCCAUCCCAACACCACAAAAAAUGUCUUUGGCAGGAAAUUGUUUUUAAAGAUUAUAUACUUAUAUACACAAACAUUACAGGAUUUACAUGAGAAACCACUGCGGAAC